This 696-nucleotide transfer RNA is filed under the name uncultured cyanobacterium. RNAcentral describes it as "partial miscellaneous RNA". The stretch from base 252 to 324 matches the Rfam family "tRNA". Lineage: Bacteria; Bacillati; Cyanobacteriota. The record is from RNAcentral.
CAGGGAGACAAAUCAAUAGAUCUUGAUGUCUGAUUAUUUUUUUAUCAGGCCAAGGUCCUGUCACCUUAGGUCGAUCGGUACCUCAAUUAAGCUAUUAUUCAAUUUUGAUUUUUGGCUUGAAUCAGUUCCUAAACUUGUCUAGGUCACACCCAAUAGAAGGGUACUCCUGGGCCAUUAGCUCAGGUGGUUAGAGCGCACCCCUGAUAAGGGUGAGGUCCCUGGUUCAAGUCCAGGAUGGCCCAUUCGGUGUUGGGGGUAUAGCUCAGUUGGUAGAGCGCCUGCUUUGCAAGCAGGAUGUCAGCGGUUCGAGUCCGCUUACCUCCACUGAUCGAUCUCCUGAUAGCGAUGGUAAGGAGAAAAUUUUGUUGAGUGUGAUUUGGAUUUGUUCAACUGAUUGAACCUAGCUUCCUAUCAUUCCUAAAUUUAUUUUUUUUCGAAAUAAAUAAUUAGGUUGAAAGGACGCUGGGCUCACUACAUUUUUAUAAAUGUAGUUUUAGUUCAGUAGAACCUUGACAACUGCAUAGGUGAGUCUGGAAAAAAUAAAGCAUCUCAUGGAUGCAUUGUUUUUUUAGGAUUUAAGGAAAUAUUUUUUUAUUACCUUGAAUUUACUAAAUUAAAUAGUGUAAUUUAUUGAGCAAGAGCAAAGACUCUAUAAAUUUCUAAAGUGUUCUUACUUUUGUUUUAUAGAGAGAUAAU